GAGCUUCCUGGUUCUGCAGUAAAAACCGGACAGACCUGUUGUGCAUGUAAUCUACGUGCAUCCAAUCUGAAGCAGAAACAACUUAAAGAAAAUGAAGGCAGGUGAGUCACCCGAAGACUGAGAGGCGCCUACAGAUCCACGGUUCUCCAGGUGCUGGGGAAAGGGACGGUGACGCGGAGGGAAGUCGUGAUCUGUGUGGCGGAUUGCGCUACGGAGGACGGAGGGGAACGCACCGAUGAGACAACAUGGGUCCACUGCUGUGUGAUGGACGACUGACACACCUCCUCUUUCCACUCCUCCUCCUCCUGCGGGCUCCCCUGCUGUUCAGCUUUGGUGAGCGCACCUGCCCCAAUAGCUGUCGAUGUGAGGGGAAAACGGUCCAUUGUGAUUCAUCUGGCUUCUUAGAUGUCCCAGAAAACAUCUCAAUCGGCUGCCAGGGCCUCUCCCUGCGCUACAAUGAACUGCACACCCUGCUACCCUAUCAGUUUGCUCACCUUAGCCAGCUCCUCUGGAUUUACUUGGACCACAAUCAGAUUUCAGCCGUUGACAGUCGAGCGUUCCAGGGGGUCCGCAGGCUUAAAGAGCUUAUACUGAGCUCCAACAGGAUCACGUCUCUACACAAUUCAACAUUCCAUGGAAUACCCAAUCUUCGCAGUCUGGACUUGUCCUACAACAAAUUGGAAAUCCUGCAGCCAGGUCAGUUCCAUGGCUUACGAAAACUACAAAAUCUACACCUUCGCUCAAACGGUCUCUCCAACAUCCCGAUUCGAGCAUUCCUAGAGUGCAGGAGUUUGGAGUUUCUUGAUUUGGGCUAUAAUCGAAUCAAGGCUCUUACUCGCACCACCUUUCUGGGUCUUCAGAAGCUGAUGGAGUUGCAUCUGGAGCACAACCAGUUCUCACGUAUCAACUUUUUUCUGUUUCCAAGGUUAGCCAACCUGAGAUCGCUGUACCUGCAGUGGAAUCGCAUUAGGGUGGUUAACCAGGGCCUUCCGUGGAAUUGGUACACUCUGCAGAAACUCGAUCUGUCAGGAAAUGAAAUCCAGACCCUGGACCCAGCUGUGUUUCACUGCUUGCCCAACCUUCAAGUCCUCAACCUGGAAUCCAACAAACUGUCCAAUGUGUCUCAGGAGGCAGUGUCAGCAUGGAUCUCACUGACCUCCAUCAGCCUUGCUGGCAACAUGUGGGAUUGCGGAACCGGCAUAUGUCCUCUUGUGGCUUGGUUGAGGAAUUUUCGGGGCACUAAAGACACCACUAUGAUAUGCAGCAGCCCAAAGUAUCUGCAAGGAGAAAAAAUUAUGGAAGCCACAAUGAACCAUGGCAUCUGUGAGGAAACUGAUUAUAUUCUGACUGAAACACCCUCACCAAUGUCAGAGCUCAUUUCUGAAGCAACUGCUGAACCAACCUUUUCCCCGACUGGCACCUCUCCACCAAUGCCUCCAAGCAACACCUUUGGUCCUCUGCCACCAUUUAGACCUCGACCUAUUCCUCAUCCUACUUUUCCAGGGCGCAUGAACAAGGACCCUAGAGACUCAGUAGCUCGCACACGACCCACUCACUUACCACCCCCAGAGAUGGAGCACAUGACUCUGCACAAAGUGGUGGUGGGCAGUGUGGCACUCUUCUUCACCAUGUCCCUAAUCUUGACAGUUGUCUAUGUGUUGUGGCGGCGAUACCCCGGUGCAACCAGGUUGCUGCAGCAGCGAUCCAUGGUGGGACGGAAGCGCCGCAAAAAGAGUCCAGAGCCAGAGCAGAACCUGAGCUCCCAGCUCCAAGAGUAUUACAUGAGCUACAACCCUGCUGCCACACCAGAAGCAUUGGAGGUGCUGGGCAAUGGCACUGGUUCCUGCACUUGCACAAUUUCUGGCUCCAGGGAGUGUGAGGUAUGACCCAUCGCAUCAACCUAAAAAUAAAAACUCAAAAUCAAAAUACAAAGGCUCAACAGAGAGAACGAGUACACGUGUCCGCGCCCCCUCCCCGGUGCCUGGCUGGGAGACGUCCCUACCAUCCGUUAACCUCCAGCGAAAACAAGGAUACAGGAAGGCCACGUGUGACGAGAAUUAGGAUCCUACUUCAAUUAUCCACAUCCAAGAAUACGUUCAAAACGCUCCUUCUCGCUAACGGGGGCCGCGAAGAGGAGAUGACACUGACUUUUUCUUUUUCUUAAGAUUUUAUAACGUCCUUCGUUUGGCCCGUGGUCACCGAUCAUCAGCUUUGUUGCAGGUCACCGUGCAUUCGUCACACAAAAGGAGACUUGUGGGAACACAGUCCUGGUGGUGAACAGCAGAGCUUUGGGAGAACACUCAUGAGCACUAAUGGAUGAGCAACAUGGAAACUGUGUGGAGGUUAUUGUCUCCAUGAGGACAACGCAGCUUUGUUUUGAAAAACACUGCACCGUUUCAAGAGGCUUUAAAAAAGAAAAGUGUAAACUGAGCAGUGAAUGGUUUGAAUUGAAAAUGCACUGAACACGUAGCUCUGGCCUGUGUGCAACAUGAAGCGGUUUGCAUAUUCUGAUUCCAUAUGACGCAUCGUGUUUCCCAUCUUUCGAUAAUUUUUUUUUUUUUUUUGGAAAAGACUAAUCAAAGGCCAGGAUGAUGUAAAUGUGCCUCACCGGAGCGGAAACAUCACGACUCACUGGUUUCUCUCGGUGCACCUGUCGGUGACGAGGAACCUGCUUCGUCCGCUGGAAAUCAAGUCAGCGGCUGGAAGGUUGUUUGAAGCGUGUGGAAAGUUACCGCAGGGAAGCGAGCGAUGGCCCAGCCAACGACAUCUGCUGAGGUUUCUUGUUUCGUUUGGGUUUUUCUGGUUUGCUUUUGUUUCUAAUCACAAUCACACCUCGACGAUGUGGUUUUGAUUCGGAGGACAGGGAGCGGCAAUCAGACGCAAAAAGAGAGGACAAAAAAACAAAAAGCUCCUGUCAAGGGUAAAUUGUAAUUUUCUGCAGUUGUAAUGUUGUUAAUGUUGUACUUUAUGAAUAUGUGUUUCUGCCAUUUUCAACACCAAAUACCAAAGAGCCAAACGUGCGUUUUUUCUGCCUUUGGCUCUUCAAACCAUGGGCGACGACAGAUCUCGGAUCUGUUCUCCCAGAAAAAAAAAAAAAAAGAAUAGAAGCCUCAACUCCUCUCACGUCCAGCAGUGCUCUUGUUACCGAAUGGGCUUUUUUUCAUGUGUGUAACGUGUACGUCUUUGUGAACAAAUCUCGCAACGGCAGUCUUCAUUAGGAAGCUCUUGUCUGAAAGAUAACUUUGACCACUGCUUUACAUUUUUAUGACUUAUUAUGUUUAACACACGCUUCACUUUCCUGACGAUAAUCGGCCGAACCCCCCCACCCCACCCCACCCCUACCCCCCUCUUUGAAGAGAAAGCGGUUUUCAGCCAUUAGACUUUCUUGAUUAUGUUCUGAGACGAGUUUAGUCGUGAACCUUUUGUUUCAACCUGCAAACUUCAUCUUUCUACGUCGGAAAAUGAUAAUUUUCUAUUGUAAAUUUCUGCUCUCCCCCUCCCCCCCUUGAAUUUGUUGAUAUUUAGUAAGCACUUGUAUUCUUUGUUCACUUUCAACAGUAUGUUUUAUAAUGAAAAUAAUGAC
Molecule: RNA transcript, 3583 nt
Organism: Paralichthys olivaceus (Japanese flounder)
Lineage: Eukaryota; Metazoa; Chordata; Actinopteri; Pleuronectiformes; Paralichthyidae
Gene: lrrtm4l1
Gene name: leucine rich repeat transmembrane neuronal 4 like 1
Source: RefSeq, a predicted model, not a curated record